Molecule: long non-coding RNA, 1658 nt
Organism: Panicum virgatum (switchgrass)
Lineage: Eukaryota; Viridiplantae; Streptophyta; Magnoliopsida; Poales; Poaceae
Exons: 7
Source: RefSeq, a predicted model, not a curated record
GACCUCCUGCCCACAAAGGCUCGCUGGUGUUGAUCCAAAAAAAAAGCUCGCUGGUGGGCUGGCAACCGGCGCUGGACGGCUCACGCGUGCAAGGCCUGCUCGGCGUACAGGCUCACUGGCCACGCUCCUCCCCUGUUCGCCUCGCAAGUUUGCCUCAGCAUCACGCAGUCCCGCCGUCCAGCCACGCUUGCCGGUGCAGAGGGCGUUGAAUCGCCGCACCUCGGCCACGCGCCUCCCGCUGCGGCCGCCGCUCCACCUCCCGCCAAUGCCCGCCGCUCCCGUCCCACCACGUCUGCAGGCGCAGUGCCUCCCGUAGUCCCGCUACUCGGCCAGCCCACUCAACCGCCGCAUCUUGGCACCUCAUUGUAUGCCUCCUCGACUGCCUCUGCCAAUGAAUGCUACCGUUCUUGCCAUGGUGGAUCUGUUCUUGGCAUUCAUUUGCAGCAUUCACAUAAACUCCACCCCCUUUAGCCAUUCUAUUGUUCCAUCCCCAAGCCUAUAUCCCGAAGGACCAAAGAUCUCCCCGCUGCUGGUUGCACCAAAUUCAUGGAGUCCGUGUAUAGGGAGGGCACAGCUUCCUGAUCAAAGCAAAAAGUUCACAUAAAUUGAUUUUGCUUCUAGAUGUAGCAGCAACAUUGGCCUUCUUGACAAAUUCAGACAAGCCAAAAUCAUGACCUCGACAAAAAAGCUUCAAGACAUUACUUUAGGCCAACAAGACUGCAAGAUCCUAGGUCGACUUACAAGACUAUGGGAUUCAAAAAAAUAUGAGAUCCAAAUCUGCAGAUCCACUCAUCAGUAUUGAUGGCAUAAUAAUUGAUGAAAAUGAAAGUAUUCUUUUCUUCAUAUUUGACCUUACUCCAUAUUUCUUGAUUAAAAUAUCCAUGCCUUCCACUUUUAUUCCAUAACAGGGCACAAUGGUUCAAAUUACUGUCCCAAAGAAACUUGCACAACAGUUUUGACCUUUACUUGCUGAAGGCCAAGUAUCAGUCUAUAUAUUUACAAAUCUUACUGCAGUUGACAGCAAACAAAGGACAUGCAUCUAUCACCAUCAAAAGUACAUGCUACAGUUCCAGCCCAAGUCGAAGGUCCAUCGUCUUGAUUCACGAGGAGAUAAGAUCCCCCACUAUGCAUUCAAAUUUUGCCCAUUUGAUCAGUUAUCAUCAAAAGACAUUACAUCAAAGCCACUUCUAGGAGUUAUCAGCCAUAUAGGACCUUAUGAUUUUGCUAGCGCAACAUCAAGUACAAAACUCCGAAAAGUCAAGAUUCGAGGCCAAGAGGAACAAACACAGGAAAUACAACUAUGGGGUGAACAUGGCGAAACAUUUAACGAGGCUGAAUUCCUUGAAAAAUCUAAGCAAGGGAUCAUUGUAGCAAUAUUUGCUAGAUUAACUGCAAGAAGCUUUAAAGACCAAAGACAUAACCAAGCACCUUGCAACUAACAACCCGAUGAUCAUUGCUCAAUACACAAAAAAGGGACAACCAUACCUGCAAGCUAUUUUAACUGAAGAGGAGCCCACAAGUGCAAAUACAAAUUAGCUACUUUCUCCAAAAUUCUAUGUUAUUUCCUAAAUAAUUUCAAUUCCCUUUACAUAAAUAUCUCCCAAGUAUAUCGUCCGCACCUAUCUAUUCAAUAAAACUGAAUCACAUUUAUACAAUAA